UACGUAGGGGGCGAGCGUUGUCCGGAAUUAUUGGGCGUAAAGCGCGCGCAGGCGGUCUUCUAAGUCUGAUGUGAAAGCCCACGGCUUAACCGUGGAGGGUCAUUGGAAACUGGAGGACUUGAGUACAGAAGAGGAGAGUGGAAUUCCACGUGGAGCGGUGAAAUGCGUAGAGAUGUGGAGGAACACCAGUGGCGAAGGCGACUCUCUGGUCUGUAACUGACGCUGAGGUGCGAAAGCGUGGGUAGCGAACAGG
RNAcentral lists this unclassified non-coding RNA (253 nucleotides) under uncultured Caryophanales bacterium. Its description in RNAcentral is "uncultured Bacillales bacterium contains 16S-23S intergenic spacer region". It matches the Rfam family "Bacterial small subunit ribosomal RNA", at positions 524 to 776 of the family's 1533-position model. Lineage: Bacteria; Bacillati; Bacillota; Bacilli; Caryophanales. The record is from RNAcentral.